This 352-nucleotide ribosomal RNA is filed under the name Fallicambarus gordoni. RNAcentral's name for it is "partial 16S ribosomal RNA". It matches the Rfam family "Bacterial large subunit ribosomal RNA", at positions 2048 to 2595 of the family's 2925-position model. Lineage: Eukaryota; Metazoa; Arthropoda; Malacostraca; Decapoda; Cambaridae. The record is from RNAcentral.
AAAGAUAUUGAAUUUAACUUUUAAGUGAAAAGGCUUAAAUGAUUUGAAGGGACGAUAAGACCCUAUAAAACUUUAUAUUUAAGGAUGUAGAUUAUUUUUAUUUGUGGAUUAUUAUCUAAAAAUAUUUGGUUGGGGCGACGAGGAUAGAAUAUUAAGUAACUGUCUUUUUUUAAAACAGUAAUAUUUGAUUUAAUGAUCCUAAAAGGGAUUAAAGAUUAAGUUACUUUAGGGAUAACAGCGUAAUUUUCUUUGAGAGUUCUUAUCGACAAGAGAGUUUGCGACCUCGAUGUUGAAUUAAAAGUUCUUUAUAGAGUAGAGACUAUAAUAGAAGGUCUGUUCGACCUUUAAACUU